GAUGAACGCUGGCGGCGUGCCUAAUACAUGCAAGUCGAGCGAACAGAUGAGGAGCUUGCUCCUUUGACGUUAGCGGCGGACGGGUGAGUAACACGUGGAUAACCUACCUAUAAGACUGGGAUAACUUCGGGAAACCGGAGCUAAUACCGGAUAAUAUAUUGAACCGCAUGGUUCAAUAGUGAAAGACGGUUUUGCUGUCACUUAUAGAUGGAUCCGCGCCGCAUUAGCUAGUUGGUAAGGUAACGGCUUACCAAGGCGACGAUGCGUAGCCGACCUGAGAGGGUGAUCGGCCACACUGGAACUGAGACACGGUCCAGACUCCUACGGGAGGCAGCAGUAGGGAAUCUUCCGCAAUGGGCGAAAGCUUGACGGAGCAACGCCGCGUGAGUGAUGAAGGUCUUCGGAUCGUAAAACUCUGUUAUUAGGGAAGAACAAAUGUGUAAGUAACUAUGCACGUCUUGACGGUACCUAAUCAGAAAGCCACGGCUAACUACGUG
Molecule: ribosomal RNA, 497 nt
Filed under: uncultured bacterium
Lineage: Bacteria
Description: partial 16S ribosomal RNA
Rfam family: Bacterial small subunit ribosomal RNA
Source: RNAcentral